RNAcentral lists this long non-coding RNA (1350 nucleotides) under Canis lupus familiaris (dog). RNAcentral's name for it is "lncRNA (ENSCAFG00040009928.1)". Lineage: Eukaryota; Metazoa; Chordata; Mammalia; Carnivora; Canidae. The record is from RNAcentral.
AUGGGAACGCAGCGGCCGCACUUGGCGGGUUGCCCGCGGUGGAGCGCGGAGCUCGGCGGGGCGCCGGGACGAGGUGAGGAGGGGUCCAGCCGCCCAGGGGGAGUCGGGGGGCCGCGGGCGUCCCCGGGCGGGCGCUGGGGGGCGCUGCGCGCCGGGCGGCUCGCCCCGCGGCAAGUUUGCCUCCAGCUGUUGAAUGCGCCCGCGACGGCGACGGCGACGGCGACGGCGGCGGCGGGACCCGGAGCCCGCGGGGUGAGCGGGGCGGGGGGCCGGGCGGGGCCGGGGCUCGGCGCUCCCCGCGGCCGCCGCCGCCGCCUCCCCGGGCGCUGCAGCUGCGGCGUUGGAGCCGGGCGGGCCCCCGCCCCGCGGCCGCGUGUCUGCGUGCGCGCGUGUCUGUGGAAGGAUCGGGCCGGGGGAGGGGGCGGGCGGGGUCUCGCUGCGGACGCGCCUGCGGACGGACGGACGGACAGACCGCGGGCCGCGGCCCCUGACGCACGCUGCGCUCCCACCCCGGCGGCGGCGGCCCGGGCCGGGCGGGCGGGGGCGGGGGGCGUCUGCGCGCACACGCGGGCUCGCAGACACACACACACGCACACGCGGGCCACGCCGCGCACACCCGCACCCGCGCCCGCGCUCACACUCACUCACACUCACACUCGCGCGCAGGCCCCGCAGCCGCCGCCGCCUCCGGAAGCGGCGCUCGGCCCGGAUCCCGGCCGGGCUGGAGAAGGAGAAGACCUGGGUGAGAAGCUGCUGCGCCUGAGCCAGACUGGGACCGAGACCCCGUUGCUCCUGCUGCCGCUGCCAGCGCAGGGCCUCCCUGAGACCAGGCCAGGGAUAGACCUCGUGGGCCGGAGGGGCCCCCUUAGCCUGCAGACAUCGGAGCCAGGAGACAGAUGGGUCUCUUCCUUCCUGUCCGUCUCUCAAGCUCCCUCCUCAGAGCUUCAUUCUCCAGCCUCCUGUGGGAAUCGUGGGAAUCGUCUGAAGUUUGAGCCUAGAACCAGAGGAGGAGGAGGAGGAGGAGGAAGAAGACAAGGAAGAGGAGGAGGAGGAGGGAGAGGAAGUCUUGAGAGCCCGUGCACCUUUCCAGAAACAGGCGGUGGGGGUGCGUCCCAGGCCCAUCCUCGGUGGCCCACGCCUGCCAGUAGCACCCCUGAGAGGACCCCCCCCCCACCGCCGCCCUCUACCGCGGUUGGCACCGGCCGCGUCUGCUCCCUCGGGGGGACCCCUGUGCCGGGGGUCGCCCCCAAGAUGGUGGCGGCCCCAGGGAGGACUGUGCCGCCAGCCCCAGCCUCCCGCUGCUAGGUCCCCUGUGCCCCGGGCCCCCCUUACCCCAAGCCCGGCCUUCCA